UAGGGAAUAUUGGUAAUGGGCGAAAGCCUGAACCAGCAACGCCGCGUGUGCGAAGAAGGCCUUCGGGUUGUAAAGCACUUUUUAAGGGGAUGAGGAAGGACAGUACCCUUAGAAUAAGCCUCGGCUAACUACGUGCCAGCAGCUGCGGUAACACGUAGGAGGCAAGCGUUAUUCGGAUUUACUGGGCGUAAAGCGCGUGCAGGCGGUUUGGUGAGUUGGAUGUGAAAGCUCCCGGCCUAACUGGGAGAGGUCGUUCAAUACUACCAGACUAGAGGAUGGGAGAGGGAGGUGGAAUUCCGGGCGUAGUGGUGAAAUGCGUAGAUAUCCGGAGGAACACCAGUGGCGAAAGCGGCCUCCUGGCCCAUUUCUGACGCUCAGACGCGAAGGCUAGGGUAGCAAACGG
This 403-nucleotide ribosomal RNA is filed under the name uncultured bacterium. RNAcentral's name for it is "bacterial SSU rRNA". It matches the Rfam family "Bacterial small subunit ribosomal RNA", at positions 355 to 775 of the family's 1533-position model. The record is from RNAcentral.